RNAcentral lists this RNase P RNA (410 nucleotides) under Algoriphagus oliviformis. Its description in RNAcentral is "Algoriphagus sp. H41 RNase P RNA component class A". It matches the Rfam family "Bacterial RNase P class A". From Rfam's summary of the family: Ribonuclease P (RNase P) is a ubiquitous endoribonuclease, found in archaea, bacteria and eukarya as well as chloroplasts and mitochondria. Lineage: Bacteria; Pseudomonadati; Bacteroidota; Cytophagia; Cytophagales; Cyclobacteriaceae. The record is from RNAcentral.
CGUGCAAGUCGUCUUGCCGCCGUCCAGAUCCGUCUGGAGGGAGGAAAGUCCGGGCAACACAGAGCACCAUACUUCCUAACGGGAAGGCAUUCUACUGGUGACGGUAGGGUGACAGACAGGGCCACAGAAACAAACCGUCCCGAUAGCUAUCGGGAUAAGGGUGAAAAGGUGGGGUAAGAGCCCACCGUCCAGCUGGUGACAGCUGGGGCUAGGCAAACCUUAUGGGUUGAAAGAUCAAAUAGACCCCGGGCAAAGAGCUGCUCGUUCGAUUUCUCCCGAUUCGUCGGGAGGAUUCCGGGGUGGGUAGAUCGAUGGAUCCCUAUCGCGAGGUAGGGGCUAGAUAAAUGGCAAGAGCCCCGCCGGAGCAAUCCACGGGGAUACAGAACCCGGCUUACAGACUUGCACUUUUU